RNAcentral lists this transfer RNA (74 nucleotides) under Tissierellia bacterium. Its description in RNAcentral is "tRNA-Arg". It matches the Rfam family "tRNA". From Rfam's summary of the family: Transfer RNA (tRNA) molecules are approximately 80 nucleotides in length. Their secondary structure includes four short double-helical elements and three loops (D, anti-codon, and T loops). The record is from RNAcentral. Lineage: Bacteria; Bacillati; Bacillota; Tissierellia.
GCACCCGUAGCUCAACUGGAUAGAGCAUCUGACUUCGGAUCAGAGGGUUGGGGGUUCGAAUCCUCUCGGGUGUG